CUUGCAUCUUCAUCGACUGAGAUAAGUACUUCUGAGUUCGACUGAGAUUUCAUUGAAUAUAUGCUUUUGAUAAUAAUUAACUUAAUGGCAAAUGAGUGCAUCCUGAAAAAGGGGCUACAGUAGGAUAGAUAAAAGCAAAUAAAUAAAAUAAAUGUAUCACCAUGACAUGAAGCUCCAGCUGAGAAUGCCCAUGCUAAUUGCCAAAACCUUCUAUUUAUUUUUCUCAGUUCCACUAUCUAGCACAGGUUUGGACCCAAAGUUCUAAGGCAUUUAUAUAUAACAAUCUGCCAAUCUGAAUAUAUUGCCAAUAUUGACGCUACUGUCUGACGAUGUGCAUGGAAAAUGAUGUCGGCAUAUUUUUUGUUUCUUUUUUCUUUUCCGCUCUAAAAAUCCCAACUCCCCAGUGUUAUCAAUCAACAAAAUUACUCUUUUAAGUAACAAUUGAAUUUAUUAGCCAGAAAUGCAUAAAUACAAAGAUUAAUAAUCGUAUAGGUUAUUGAGAAAUGUAACAUAAAUCAAUUUAUCACUUGGAGUGAACAGAGUAAAAAAUUUACAGCAGUUGUGAUCCACGUACAAUAUUGGCAUUUGUAGUUGAACUAAGUAAGCUUUCGCCAGAGAUAACCUUUAGAAGCUGACAAGUACUUCACUUUUGGGAACACAAAACCAGCCCUUGGAGGGUUUCCAUCCACAAGCGAAUUCUCAUAAAUUUCUUUGCACUCUUGUAUAACCUCUUUUGCAUCCUUUCUUGGUAUGCCUUCACGCAGUCCCACAAGCUUCUCAACCACUUCAGGGGGACAGUCAGGUUGAUGUUCAAGAAUAUUUGUAUAUAUGAGUGUAAAGGUAUCCAAGCUCUCUGCUGACGCAAGUUCUCUUAAAUCGCUCAGUAUCCUCACUCUACUUUCUACUUUAGAGACACUUAUGUAUUCCCUGAAAAAAUCCAUAAUAACCUCUUCGUCCAGCCUCAUUCGUUCUAUAGUCUCUUCCUUGAUGUAGUUUCUCUGUGUCAGAAGAUGAUCAAUGUAAACCACAACGGUCUCCUCCAGGCAAGCUUCAACAAAUCUCCUGAACGAUCUUUCUUCAAUGUACCUUAAAAACCAAAAAUUAAAACCAAUAAGAGAUAAUGAUUCUGGUUCAAACCAGACACACAAGAAUAAGGAAGCUAUAUUUGGACAAUGUACUCUUCAACAAAAGUAAUUUAGAUGGUCAUUGGUAAGAAAUCCUGCCAGUCACAAUUAAACAUUUAUGGAGGCACAGAAGUGGAUGUUUUGGGUUUCAAGAUAACAACUUAAAGAUAAGAGGAAGAUUUAAUUGCAUUGUUACAAGCCUAUACGGGUUAAAUUGAGCAGGAAGUGAUAUUAAUCAAACAUUUGUCUGAUUAACUAUCUAAUGAUAGAGGCUGAAAGUGCAAUAUAUCAUGACAAAACUCAUAAUUUCCUAAUAUCUUCAGCAUUUCCCUUCAGUUACAUUUAUUUAUGGACUUUAAGCCGCAAAUCAUGGAUUAACUUGUUCACUUUCACUCCAGAAAGCAGCAUUUUCCCUUGGUACAAGCACAGACGAUGCUGGUCACACUGCAUGAAAAGGUCAUAAGGAAUACCAAUAGAAUGAACAAGAGGAUUUAGGGGUUGCAUCAUGUGUCCGACAAUAAAAUGACAACUUUGCAAGUGGGCUCCACCGAGCUAAAUUGGCUCUGAAAAUAUAAGAAUGCAACCUAUCCUGUAAAUUGGUCAUGGAUAUAAAAAGAGUAGCUUAAAAAGCUCAAGAACUAGUUUCAAAUGCUAAUUAAUUUACCCUUCUAAACUAAGGGGGCAGAAGAAUAGUUGCUGACAGAAGGGAUGGCCCAAAAUCAAAAGAAAUUGAACUUACAUCUUCACAUCUGUAAAAUAGUCGCCAAAUGUUGCAACUAAGUACUCUGUGACUUGUCCUUCACA
This 1928-nucleotide unclassified non-coding RNA is filed under the name Hevea brasiliensis (rubber tree). Lineage: Eukaryota; Viridiplantae; Streptophyta; Magnoliopsida; Malpighiales; Euphorbiaceae. The record is from RNAcentral.